This 934-nucleotide ribosomal RNA is filed under the name Sphaerospermopsis aphanizomenoides UADFA8. Its description in RNAcentral is "bacterial SSU rRNA". It matches the Rfam family "Bacterial small subunit ribosomal RNA", at positions 28 to 1005 of the family's 1533-position model. The record is from RNAcentral. Lineage: Bacteria; Bacillati; Cyanobacteriota; Cyanophyceae; Nostocales; Aphanizomenonaceae.
GAUGAACGCUGGCGGUAUGCUUAACACAUGCAAGUCGAACGGACUCUUAGGAUCUAGUGGCGGACGGGUGAGUAACGCGUGAGAAUUUGGCUUCAGGUCGGGGACAACAGUUGGAAACGACUGCUAAUACCGGAUGUGCCGGAAGGUGAAAGAUUUAUCGCCUGAAGAUAAGCUCGCGUCUGAUUAGCUAGUUGGUGGUGUAAGGGACUACCAAGGCGACGAUCAGUAGCUGGUCUGAGAGGAUGAUCAGCCACACUGGGACUGAGACACGGCCCAGACUCCUACGGGAGGCAGCAGUGGGGAAUUUUCCGCAAUGGGCGAAAGCCUGACGGAGCAAUACCGCGUGAGGGAGGAAGGCUCUUGGGUCGUAAACCUCUUUUCUCAAGGAAGAAGAAAGUGACGGUACUUGAGGAAUAAGCAUCGGCUAACUCCGUGCCAGCAGCCGCGGUAAUACGGAGGAUGCAAGCGUUAUCCGGAAUGAUUGGGCGUAAAGGGUCUGUAGGUGGUACUGAAAGUCUGCUGUUAAAGAGCAAGGCUCAACCUUGUAAGAGCAGUGGAAACUACAGAACUAGAGUGCGGUAGGGGCAAAAGGAAUUCCUGGUGUAGCGGUGAAAUGCGUAGAUAUCAGGAAGAACACCGGUGGCGAAAGCGUUUUGCUAGACCGCAACUGACACUGAGGGACGAAAGCUAGGGGAGCGAAUGGGAUUAGAUACCCCAGUAGUCCUAGCCGUAAACGAUGGAUACUAGGCGUGGCUUGUAUCGACCCGAGCCGUGCCGGAGCUAACGCGUUAAGUAUCCCGCCUGGGGAGUACGCACGCAAGUGUGAAACUCAAAGGAAUUGACGGGGGCCCGCACAAGCGGUGGAGUAUGUGGUUUAAUUCGAUGCAACGCGAAGAACCUUACCAAGACUUGACAUCCUGCGAAUUUUCCUGAA